This 405-nucleotide ribosomal RNA is filed under the name uncultured Clostridia bacterium. RNAcentral's name for it is "bacterial SSU rRNA". It matches the Rfam family "Bacterial small subunit ribosomal RNA", at positions 9 to 426 of the family's 1533-position model. The record is from RNAcentral. Lineage: Bacteria; Bacillati; Bacillota; Clostridia.
GAGUUUGAUCUUGGCUCAGGACUAACGCUGGCGGCGUGCCUAACACAUGCAAGUCGAACGAAGCAGCAAUGCUUAGUGGCAGACGGGUGAGUAACGCGUAGAUAAUGUGCCCUCUUGCGGGGGAUACCGUUUCGAAAGGAACGUUAAUACCGCAUAACACCUUCGGUGGGCGAUCCACUGAAGGUCAAAUUCCUGGAGCGAGAGGAGCAGUCUGCGUACUAUCAGCUAGUUGGUGAGGUAAUGGCUCACCAAGGCUACGACGGUUAACUGGUCUGAGAGGAUGAUCAGUCACACUGGAACUGAGACACGGUCCAGACUCCUACGGGAGGCAGCAGUGAGGAAUAUUGCGCAAUGGGCGAAAGCCUGACGCAGCGACGCCGCGUGGACGAUGAAGGCCUCGGUUGU